GAUGAACGCUGGCGGCGUGCUUAACACAUGCAAGUCGAACGAAGCACUUUAACCUGAUUCUUCGGAUGAAGGUUUUUGUGACUGAGUGGCGGACGGGUGAGUAACGCGUGGGUAACCUGCCUCAUACAGGGGGAUAACAGUUAGAAAUGACUGCUAAUACCGCAUAAGACCACAGAGCCGCAUGGCUCGGUGGGAAAAACUCCGGUGGUAUGAGAUGGACCCGCGUCUGAUUAGGUAGUUGGUGGGGUAACGGCCUACCAAGCCAACGAUCAGUAGCCGACCUGAGAGGGUGACCGGCCACAUUGGGACUGAGACACGGCCCAAACUCCUACGGGAGGCAGCAGUGGGGAAUAUUGCACAAUGGGGGAAACCCUGAUGCAGCGACGCCGCGUGAACGAAGAAGUAUUUCGGUAUGUAAAGCUCUAUCAGCAGGGAAGAAAAUGACGGUACCUGACUAAGAAGCACCGGCUAAAUACGUG
This 479-nucleotide ribosomal RNA is filed under the name uncultured bacterium. RNAcentral's name for it is "partial 16S ribosomal RNA". It matches the Rfam family "Bacterial small subunit ribosomal RNA", at positions 28 to 507 of the family's 1533-position model. The record is from RNAcentral.